UAUUUUAUUCCAGUUUAAUGAGUUUUCAAAGUUUUAUAUUUAAACCCCGGGUUAUUGUGUUAUUGAUAAAUGAUUAUAUUUUUAAAACUGAUUUUCAUAUAUUGUUUCGAAAAUUUUAGAUGAUUAUUAUGUGAAUAUAUGUGUGGUGUGAGUAAGUGGUAUUGGUGGAUUUGUUGGUUAAUUAGUUACGGUUAAUUAUGAGUAUUAUAUGAUUAAUAUAUGAAUUUUUGUGAAUUUUAUAUUAUCUGGUUUAUUGCGUUAACUGCUCAUAUGUGUUCGUAUUUGAGAAAUUUCAAUUUCUAUAUGCUCAGGAGAAAAUAUAGUUUAUUUGGAUAUUUUCAUAUCGAUUUAUGGAAUGUUAGAUGAUUUUAUAAUCGAUUUACGGAUUUAAUUGCGUAUAUUUAUAUUUAUUGAUUAAUUAUUUGACUUCCGUAAAACCGUCCACUCGUAACGAGGUAGCAAAUUUUCUUCCCGGAAGUUUCAACAAAACUCACCUUUAGCCUAAUUGGAAUAUUCCGGACACUUUUCGUGUUUUGACUUUUUCGAUCCGGAGUACGGUUUUCCCCGGAGUCGGUCCGGCGGAGUUUUUCGGGUAUUUUAAUUGUUGAUAAUUAUCCAGAUUGUCUCGAUAAACGUGAAACUAGAUAUUUUGAUUCAUCCUUAUCUUGUAAUAAUUGCAGUGGGACCUGCAUACUAAUGAUUGAGUUAAAAAGCCCCGUUUUGAUGAUUAUCUCGUAAACCGGUACCGAUUGGACCCCGCUUUAUUAAUAUAAAGCUAUUAAAUAUCGUAUUUUCAUGUCAUAAACGAUCCAAAGGGGUACCAAUUAUUUGUAAAUAUAAAUAGACCUUUCUAGAGCUUAUUUUCACCCGUAAAAAUCAUUUCACCAGUUUCUUUCCAUGAAUACCGAGAGAAAACGAGCGGUGUUCUUCGUGUUCUUCAUAAUCAAACGCAGAUUUGGAGGUGUUAUUGGAAUCCGAUGGAGGCGUAUGAAUAGUCAAAACGAAGCUAUCGACGUGUAGAUUAUAGUUUAAUCAUUCGUUUGUGUGCAGAUUCAACAGGAUUUGGACGAGGCGUGUACGCUCGAAGAUGUUCAGAAUGUCAAGUGGUAUUGCAAAGCGAAUAAGGCACGAAUCGAGGAAGCGAAGCUAGAUUACGAAUAAAGUAUAGCCAGAGAUGGUAUAGAGAUUAUGAUAUGCAUAGAUUGUGAAAGUGGAAAGAUGAGAUAGAGAUGUGAGACUGGAGUCAGAUUUAAGGCAAGUAUCCUGCACCCUGCUUUUGGAUAUAUUGCAAAUAUUCUGAUUCAUUCUUUUGAUGUGUUGCAAGUAUCCUAAACCUUUCUCUUGGAUAUAUUGCAAAUAUUCUGAUUCAUUCCUUUGGUAUAUGUUUCAAGUAUUCAUACCUUUCUUUUCAAUGUUCGAAAGUGCGAGUAUUCUGACCCAUUCUUUCUAAUCUCCAAGUUUCUAAAGAAUUUCCGUUUUACAAAUUAAUUCGAAGUUCAGAUUGUCAUUGAAGCAUGUGUUGCUCAGUGAUAGUUAGAGCUUUGAAUGAAUUGGGAUCUUCUUGAUUAUUCAACCCGCCAUUGUCAUGCUGGUUUAGCAGGCUAAAUUCAGUUGCUUAGCCGAUAAUGGAGGAUAUUGAAUAGUUAGGGAUUUCCUGAACUAUGAUUUAUGAAAGGAUGAACUGUGACUUAUGAAAAGUUUAUUAUCAAAGUUUGAUUUGAAAUUAUUCUGUUGUUGAUGAUAUUUAUGAUGAUGUUCUGUUGAUUUACACUGACCUGUUAAACUGAAUUAGAGAAUUGGAUUAUUGUUUUUAUAUAAACAUGUGGACCAGAUGAGUGGUCAGACCAAAUGAGUGGUCAUGAUAGGCCAAUGAGUGCCUUGGAUCCAGUGAUAGAGCAUGGCGGGGCCUGCUCGGGGUUAGGUAUGACUGAUCAGCAUCCUAACCUUGGUUUUUAAUUAAAAUGUGAUAGUCCAAUUCAAUAAUUCUCUUGUGAAGGAUUGAAUUCCUCAGGUUUCUAUUGCUGCAAGGUAUUGUGAUUCUUUUAUACAAUACCUGAAUUUGUGAACUCAGGUUGAAUCUUUUUAUAUCUUGAACUCGAGAAUUUCUGCUAUAUCACUUCAGAACUUUCAUUGUUAUUAUUACUUGCUGAGCAUUGUUGCUCACUCUUGCUAUUCUCUUUUAACCAUUUCAGAAAGGAUUAAAGAUGAAUGGCUAGUCUAUGAUUGCGAGUAAAGUUAAGGCUAGGCGAGGAGUCAGAGGUGUUAAGGAUCCAGUGGUCGAGAAGUGUCCAGGAAGAUUGAUAAGGUUGAUGCUAGCUCGAGUUGUGCUAUUGAGAUUCAGAUGUAAGUCAUAGCUGGAAUAGUUGACAGUGAUUCUUCUUAUCGAAGAUGAUCUGAUUUGGUAAGAGAUGUUGGGUAAUAAUAGUGGUUGAUUCUAAUUUCAAUACUGUAACCUGGAAGCGAUCCUGUUGUUUUGGGGGUGAAGAUGUUCUCUUUCAAAUCUUUCAUUUAACGUCUUUCAGA
This is a long non-coding RNA of Daucus carota subsp. sativus, 2523 nucleotides long. RefSeq lists it as uncharacterized. The transcript is spliced from 2 exons. NCBI's taxonomy places the organism in Eukaryota, Viridiplantae, Streptophyta, Magnoliopsida, Apiales, Apiaceae. The record is from RefSeq and is a predicted model, not a curated record.